Molecule: ribosomal RNA, 1369 nt
Filed under: uncultured bacterium
Lineage: Bacteria
Description: bacterial SSU rRNA
Rfam family: Bacterial small subunit ribosomal RNA
Source: RNAcentral
GAUGAACGCUGGCGGCGUGCCUAAUACAUGCAAGUCGAGCGAACAGAUAAGGAGCUUGCUCCUUUGAAGUUAGCGGCGGACGGGUGAGUAACACGUGGGUAACCUACCUAUAAGACUGGGAUAACUUCGGGAAACCGGAGCUAAUACCGGAUAAUAUUUAGAACCGCAUGGUUCUAAAGUGAAAGAUGGUUUUGCUAUCACUUAUAGAUGGACCCGCGCCGUAUUAGCUAGUUGGUAAGGUAACGGCUUACCAAGGCGACGAUACGUAGCCGACCUGAGAGGGUGAUCGGCCACACUGGAACUGAGACACGGUCCAGACUCCUACGGGAGGCAGCAGUAGGGAAUCUUCCGCAAUGGGCGAAAGCCUGACGGAGCAACGCCGCGUGAGUGAUGAAGGGUUUCGGCUCGUAAACUCUGUUAUUAGGGAAGAACAAUGUGUAAGUAACUGUGCACAUCUUGACGGUACCUAAUCAGAAAGCCACGGCUAACUACGUGCCAGCAGCCGCAGUAAUACGUAGGUGGCAAGCGUUAUCCGGAAUUAUUGGGCGUAAGCGCGCGUAGGCGGUUUCUUAAGUCUGAUGUGAAAGCCCACGGCUCAACCGUGGAGGGUCAUUGGAAACUGGGAAACUUGAGUGCAGAAGAGGAAAGUGGAAUUCCAUGUGUAGCGGUGAAAUGCGCAGAGAUAUGGAGGAAUACCAGUGGCGAAGGCGACUUUCUGGUCUGUAACUGACGCUGAUGUGCGAAAGCGUGGGGAUCAAACAGGAUUAGAUACCCUGGUAGUCCACGCCGUAAACGAUGAGUGCUAAGUGUUAGGGGGUUUCCGCCCCUUAGUGCUGCAGCUAACGCAUUAAGCACUCCGCCUGGGGAGUACGACCGCAAGGUUGAAACUCAAAGGAAUUGACGGGGACCCGCACAAGCGGUGGAGCAUGUGGUUUAAUUCGAAGCAACGCGAAGAACCUUACCAAAUCUUGACAUCCUUUGAAAACUCUAGAGAUAGAGCCUUCCCCUUCGGGGGACAAAGUGACAGGUGGUGCAUGGUUGUCGUCAGCUCGUGUCGUGAGAUGUUGGGUUAAGUCCCGCAACGAGCGCAACCCUUAAGCUUAGUUGCCAUCAUUAAGUUGGGCACUCUAGGUUGACUGCCGGUGACAAACCGGAGGAAGGUGGGGAUGACGUCAAAUCAUCAUGCCCCUUAUGAUUUGGGCUACACACGUGCUACAAUGGACAAUACAAAGGGCAGCUAAACCGCGAGGUCAUGCAAAUCCCAUAAAGUUGUUCUCAGUUCGGAUUGUAGUCUGCAACUCGACUACAUGAAGCUGGAAUCGCUAGUAAUCGUAGAUCAGCAUGCUACGGUGAAUACGUUCCCGGGUCU